Molecule: unclassified non-coding RNA, 329 nt
Filed under: Amanita lavendula
Lineage: Eukaryota; Fungi; Basidiomycota; Agaricomycetes; Agaricales; Amanitaceae
Description: partial internal transcribed spacer region
Rfam family: Eukaryotic small subunit ribosomal RNA (bases 1-46)
Source: RNAcentral
AAGUCGUAACAAGGUUUCCGUAGGUGAACCUGCGGAAGGAUCAUUAUUGAAGGAGAAUGGGUGGCAUGGGCUGUUGCUGGCUUGAAUGAGCAUGUGCACGUCUGUUGCUGCUUAUUUCAUUCAUUUUUCCUCCUGUGCAUGUUUUGUAGACACUUGGGAAAUGAGAGGUUGGUUGUAAUGUAAUGAAUUGACCUCUUGAGAUGAGUCUGGGAGUCUAUGACAUUUUUAUAAACACGGCUGUAUGUGUAUGGAAUGAGAUUGUAGGUUUUUAAUAAAAAAAGCCUUUAAAUGAUAAAGUACAACUUUCAACAACGGAUCUCUUGGCUCUC